CUUCUAGCAGGGGAGUGUGUGUGUGUGUGUGUGUGUCCUUACUGUCUGUCUUCUAGCAGGGGAGUGUGGGAGUGUGUGUCCUUACUGUCUGUCUUCUAGCAGGGGAGUGUGUGUGUGUGUCCUUACUGUCUGUCUUCUAGCAGGGAUGUGUGUGUGUGUGUGUGUCCUUACUGUCUGUCUUCUAGCAGGGGAGUGUGUGUGUGUCCUUACUGUCUGUCUUCUAGCAGGGAGUGUGUGUGUGUGUGUCCUUACUGUCUGUCUUCUAGCAGGGGAGUGGGUGUGUGUGUGUGUCCUUACUGUCUGUCUUCUAGCAGGGGAGUGUGUGUGUGUGUGUGUGUCCUUACUGUCUGUCUUCUAGCAGGGGAGUGUGUGUGUGUGUGUGUCUU
This is a long non-coding RNA of Oncorhynchus tshawytscha (Chinook salmon), 386 nucleotides long. The record is from Ensembl. NCBI's taxonomy places the organism in Eukaryota, Metazoa, Chordata, Actinopteri, Salmoniformes, Salmonidae.